Molecule: ribosomal RNA, 449 nt
Filed under: uncultured bacterium
Lineage: Bacteria
Description: partial 16S ribosomal RNA
Rfam family: Bacterial small subunit ribosomal RNA
Source: RNAcentral
AACGAACGCUGGCGGCAGGCCUAACACAUGCAAGUCGAACGGGACCUUCGGGUCUAGUGGCGGACGGGUGAGUAACGCGUGGGAACGUGCCCUUUGGUUCGGAAUAGCCCCGGGAAACUGGGAGUAAUACCGGAUAAGCCCUACGGGGGAAAGAUUUAUCGCCAAAGGAUCGGACCGCGUUGGAUUAGGUAGUUGGUGAGGUAAUGGCUCAACAAGCCGACGAUCCAUAGCUGGUUGGAGAGGAUGAUCAGCCACACUGAGACUGAGACACAGCCCAGAGUCGUACGGGAGGAAGCAGUGGGGAAUCGUAGACAAUGGGGGAAACCCUGAUCUAGCCAUGCCGCGUGAUCGAUGAAGGCCUUAGGGUUGUAAAGAUCUUUCAGUGGGGAAGAUAAUGACUGUACCCACAGAAGAAGCCCCGGCUAACUCCGUGCCAGCCGCCGCGGUAA